RNAcentral lists this long non-coding RNA (1118 nucleotides) under Capsicum annuum. Its description in RNAcentral is "long non-coding RNA (CANN_LNC021386)". The record is from RNAcentral. Lineage: Eukaryota; Viridiplantae; Streptophyta; Magnoliopsida; Solanales; Solanaceae.
ACGAAACAAAACGAAUCCAAAAUAUAAUGUUUAGUCCAAUUAUAUAGUCCAGAAUAGAAAAAAUGUGAAAAUGUAAAUCCUAUCCUAAACUAAUGUGCUCUACCUGAUGCCUCUGACCUUCAUCACGAUCAUUUGCCGCCAACAUGAUACGUCGGGACAUUCCCCAAUGAAUAAAUACAAUGAGCCUCGGAACAUUCCCCGACUAAAUGAAUACAUUUAAUGAAAAACGAUAAAGAUGAAGAAAAUCACUCAAAAAUAAAUAUUUAAAUGUUUGAUGAUUAGAAUCCUACGAGUUGCCUACCCCAAAGCCUAGAAUUUGCCUACUAAUUUCGACCUAAAACAUGAUACUAUCAUCGUUCAACAUCAACAAUGAAUCAAAAUACUACAAUAUUUCCUCUUAUUGAUUUUCAAUUCCCGCUCCCAACUUCAUUUUUAUCAAUCACACCGUCAAAAUUACUCAAAUUCGCUCCUCAUAUCGCCGAAAUCAUAACAUCAACAAAAUCAUACAUCAUAACGUCAACAAAAAUCCAACAAUCAUGAUCAUACCUAGCAUAAUCACAACCAAUUCAAAAAAAUCAAGAUAAAGAAAAGGGAAUGGGUUAAGGACAUGGACCUCAAUAAAACUUGUUUUCCUCGUUAAUAGAGAAAUCCGGGACCACAAUCCUUGAAUGAGAACCCCAAUGACGAGCAAACCAAAUCAGUGACCCAAAAUCAUCACCUAAACAGAUUUCAAACCAAGAAUAAAACCCAAAGCACCCUAAAAAUCCGAUAGAGAACUGAGACCGAUUGAAACCGAGCUCGAGUGAGCUGACAGCAGCCAAGACGGGACGAGUAAGGGUCGGAUUCAAGCAAAUUUUAGUGUUUCCCGUCCAAAUCUAUUCGAAAAUUGAAGGAAACCGACGAGAAUCGAGCAGACGACGACCUGUAAACUACUUCCGGCUAAAGGUUCGCCGGAAAAACUCAAGAACAAUGACAGAUCUCGCACCGACUUCGCGGUUUCUGGCCGAAAUCUCAAGCUCCCUCCAAUUUUUCCGACUUCAUCCUCACUAUGUGCGUGUGUGUGUGUUUCCGGUGAGAAGGAAGAAAAGGAUCGAUUUUCUGUGUGUGUGCGCUGUGAG